GCACGGAAGCCUUGCUCGCGAGUUGGCGGCUUACCCGACCUCCUCACAUCAAAGCCCUGGCAGCAUCGGGGCCUUCCGCUUCGACCACCACCAAAGGGCGGCACGGUGCUCGCUCGCCAAAUUCCCAGGCCCCUCCCCAGCUCCGGCAUCUACGUAUUUUUUUUCUUACGUAUUUUUAAUGACUUCUGAGAUGGGACUGAAGGCACAAUGAGACUUAAACUUCGUUUCAGGGAGGCCUGCUAAGGGCUUUUGCUACUCUCCAUGACAAUAACCAAUGUGACAUUGUGCUGAGACUACACAUUGCAAGACAUCCUGCCUGCACCUGAAAGUCUUCUGCUAAGACUAGAAGUUCUGGAGAUACACAGAUCAUCCAGAGGAGCCAGGAGACAAGGUCAGAGAUUGUCUGCUUUCUUUCCCCAGAAGCCUGGGAAGAAUCAAGUCUCCAUGGCUGACAAGACAGAGUUCCCUGAAAGCAUUUGGACACAAUCUGGACUGUGGCUAGCCCCACGAGAAAAGUAAUAAUAAUUUUAAUACAAAGUUUGGCACAGUGAUAUGGAACAGCAGAGCAGAAGACCUGAUCUAUCAGUAGUGGGAGUAAAGGGAUGGCCUUGGCUACCCUGCAGGAGUAUGGAAAGAAGGGAGGAAGUUGACAAACACGCUACCUGAAGCAAGAAAAAGAUGGAAGUUCUGAUUAUUGCAGUUGAAGAAUUUUUAUACAAUUGUGCUAGUUUGAAGCUAGCUAGAAUGUUUUGUUGAGAAGAACUAGAUUACAAACUGUGAAAGGAAAAACAAUGGUGAUGUCUACUUCACUCACCGUCUUGCUGAGAAGUAUGGGAAGAAGAAAUGAAAACAUUAGAUAACACUCUCACCAUUUUUUCUCUCACUCUUGCUUGGGCUGCUGACUGAGCUGCAUCUCUCUAACACACCCUUCCAUUUGGACUAACCCACCUUUGCUUUUAACCUCUGGCCCAACCUCUAUUCUUCCUCGGGACUGGGGUAAGGUUGAGAGGGAAAAGGGGAAGGUGCAGGGGUGGUUGAGAUCCCCUCCUGGGGACUCAGGUUUCUGGGAGGGGAGUUGUGUUGCUGUAUUACCUUUUACCUUGUAUAUUUCUGUAUGUAACUGUAUAUACUGUAAAUAUCUGCUUGUAUAUUGUGCUAGCUGUAAAUAAAUAGCUUCAUUCAUAUUUCCAGAGACAA
Molecule: long non-coding RNA, 1197 nt
Organism: Pogoniulus pusillus (Red-fronted tinkerbird)
Lineage: Eukaryota; Metazoa; Chordata; Aves; Piciformes; Lybiidae
Exons: 4
Source: RefSeq, a predicted model, not a curated record